UCUAUCUGUAUGCGUGGAGCUGGGAUUCCUUCCCGUCCCAUCCCGUUCCGAUAUGUGGCCAUGUCCACGAUAGAAUACGAUCCGAGGUCGAUCGUCCCACUCGACCGUACGGAGACAAGCAUACUACAUCGACACACAAGUCGCCGAUGAUCGUAUUCUGGGUUGGAAUCAGGGAGGAGAAGGAAGAAGUCGAUGUCAGGCAUGAUCGUAUUAGCAAUGGAGGACGCCAUGCUCCGCAGGAUGGAAGAAGGCCGGCGAGCCGGGGCGGCCAUCGGGGUCCCGGUCGUCCAACCCAACCACCCUCGCACACGCAAGCUUAGUGCUUUCGAGAAGCGCUUCCUAAGGGGUUUCGCAAUCACUCUUGGAAUCAUAUUGACGGUUGUGAUCAUCGCAAUGAAGGAGCCUGGCCCCUGGAUAAAGCUAUUUUCUUUACCUCCAAUUUUAUUUGGACCUGUCAGCUGCCUUGUGUGGUCUUUCGAGGACUCUUCGGAGGAUGAGAAUUAGUUUACUUUUCAUUUACAGAAAAUUAGAUGUUUUUAUACGGAAACAUUUUGAUGAACCUUGGGCUUUGGUUGAGCUUAGCCAGAUGCUGCAGAAGUUGCUAGUGCUCUUGAGUAUGCAAGAAGAACUUGCUCAAACCAAAAACUAACUUGCAUUGAGGUCAAAAUGGUAGGAUGAGAUAUGUCAUCUUGAUUGAUGAUGCAAAUACUUUGA
Long non-coding RNA from Triticum aestivum (bread wheat), 714 nucleotides. RefSeq lists it as uncharacterized. The transcript has 3 exons. Lineage: Eukaryota; Viridiplantae; Streptophyta; Magnoliopsida; Poales; Poaceae. The record is from RefSeq and is a predicted model, not a curated record.